UAUUAUUUAUUAUCUGUAAUAUAAUAAAUGUUUUCUGUUGUAGCCUCUGAUGAUGGUUCAAACAACUCCUAAUGCAUGAAGAUGAGACCAGACACGUGGAAGAGAUGCUAGUCCAACUGCUUAUCUGUCCAGUCAUACAAAAUUGCACAUAAGCAGACAUAAACA
Long non-coding RNA from Sinocyclocheilus rhinocerous, 165 nucleotides. RefSeq lists it as uncharacterized. The record is from RefSeq and is a predicted model, not a curated record. The transcript is spliced from 2 exons. NCBI's taxonomy places the organism in Eukaryota, Metazoa, Chordata, Actinopteri, Cypriniformes, Cyprinidae.